RNAcentral lists this non-coding RNA (21 nucleotides) under Caenorhabditis elegans. Lineage: Eukaryota; Metazoa; Nematoda; Chromadorea; Rhabditida; Rhabditidae. The record is from RNAcentral.
UAUUUAAAAUGAAUACAGUGU